CAGCCGCCGCGGUAAUACCGGCGGCCCGAGUGGCGGUCACUAUUAUUGGGCUUAAAGCGUCCGUAGCCGGGGUGGGAAGUCCUCCGGGAAAUCUGGCCGCUUAACGGUCAGAAUGCCGGAGGAUACUCCCAGCCUAGGGAGCGGGAGAGGCCGAGGGGAUUCCCGGAGUAGGGGUGAAAUCCUAUAAUCCCGGGAGGACCACCUGUGGCGAAGGCGCUCGGCUGGAACGCGUCCGACGGUGAGGGACGAAGGCCAGGGGAGCAAACCGGAUUAGAUACCCGGGUAGUCCUGGCUGUAAACGAUGCGGACUUUGUGUCGGACAAGCUAUGAGCUUGCCCGGUGCCGGAGGGAAACCGUUAAGUCCGCCGCCUGGGGAGUACGGCCGCAAGGCUGAAACUUAAAGGAAUUGGCGGG
This 414-nucleotide ribosomal RNA is filed under the name uncultured microorganism. Its description in RNAcentral is "bacterial SSU rRNA". It matches the Rfam family "Archaeal small subunit ribosomal RNA", at positions 459 to 872 of the family's 1478-position model. The record is from RNAcentral.